This is a long non-coding RNA of Poecilia latipinna (sailfin molly), 6104 nucleotides long. RefSeq lists it as uncharacterized. The transcript is spliced from 2 exons. The record is from RefSeq and is a predicted model, not a curated record. NCBI's taxonomy places the organism in Eukaryota, Metazoa, Chordata, Actinopteri, Cyprinodontiformes, Poeciliidae.
AUUGGAACAAAGCGACAACAGAAUCCACCGGUGCAUAAAAGAGAGAGGAGGACGGUUUAUUAGAGGAGCCGUGACAUUAUUUUCAGAGAAGCAACCAAAACCUGCUUGUCCUGGUGUAACCUAUUGAGCCUCGACUGAUUCAGGGCAACUCAUUAUUCGGUUUUUAACAGAGGGCCUGAUAAAUAUGCAGCUGCCUUGAGCAUCUAAAUGCUGCACACCAAGCUCUUAUCAGAUAAUAUCCUCACAGCUUUGUGAAAUAUGACUAAUGCGGCCGACUGGUUCCUGAUAAUCUAUGCAGUGUUAGUUAGCCGAGCACUUGGCACCUAUCACAUUCUCCGAUCUCCCUCCUUGGUGUGUUUAUUUAGUUUACUGGACUUUAGCACAAGAUAAUUGCAAGGCACUAGUCAGCAAAGGUGGGAGUAAAAUGGAAAGAUUCAGCUGAGGUUGUCAGGCAGCUCUGAGUUUAAACAAAUUUUUUAUACGGGAAGUCAGCAUGCUAUCUUGUGGCAUAUCUUCCAUGAUGUAAAAAGGACAAAACCUCAUAGUGGGGUUCCUGGUUACGUUUUUAAGGUGGAACUGUGAUCUGAAAGUGACUCUGGAUUAAUUAUUUAACACUAGAGUGAAAUGCCAGCAAGUGAAAGAGCUGAGAGGGAGUUUUUUUCCUCGUAGCUGAAACCAAACUUGACAUUGAAUAGCAAACAGGUAAACCACAAGAGGGAGAAAAAAAUGUCUUCAUAUACGUCCUGCAGAGCACAUAUGUGUUUCCUGUGUGCAGAAUAGCUGCGUCUCAACAUUUGAAAACUUUAAUUACUCCAGAUUCUGGUGAAGAAUGCUAGUCUACAACAUUGUCCUUCCAUACAUCCAGCCAACCAACCGGUUCAAUCCCUGCUACAAGCUGCUAAGUGCUCCUUUGUGCAAGUCAGUAACCUCCUACGCUCUUACCACACAGAGCCAACACCAACACCGUCCACUUUUUCUUAAAAUAAAGAAACAGACUCCUAAGUUGUCAACAAUCAAUUAUAUGCCCCGACUUCCCAUUUGUUUCUUCCAACAACCGAACAGACCGCCUAAAACUGGCCAGAAGUUAAUAAAACCUGUCUGUUUGCUUUUAACUCUAUUUCAACCUCCUCCCCAGCUUGCUGCCAGUGGCCUGUUUAAUUUCCUGCUUGGUGCCAUUUGUGCACACUGGCCCCCUAUUGCUGAGCGAUGCCACGACGGUCGUCCCUCCCGCCCCUCCACUGCUUCCUUCCUCUUAACCCUCUUGCCAGUGGCCCUGCAAACCUCCGGAGGCAGGCGGUGCCAAGCGUUCCAGCUGUUUAAACAGGUCAGUGGUUGGUGCCAGGUGCCGCGAAGGGGAGCGCUGCCAUUGUUGUGCCCUAUAUUGCUGGUUUGUGCAAUCUGUGAUGAUUCCAUUGUCUCUGCAGAACAAGGAGCAGGGAUUAAAGGUACUGAGCUUUUUUUCAAAUUGAAGUUACUGAACAUUUUAGCAGUGAAGGGCUGUAUGACUUUUAAGCUAUGCAUUUCUUGAACCUGGUUAUUAAUCGAAAUGAAAGAUAUUUCACAGAAGAAUAGUCUCACUUGAAAAUAUUAGAAGUUAUUGAUCAGUUUAGUUUAAGUUCCUGCAAUUACAUAAUCAUUUAUGCCAAAACAUAUACUUUAUAAAACUUCUUUAUGCAAAAAAACAGCAUUCAAAACUCAAUAUUCAAGUUGAUGCCCAUUACAAGAAUCAUGUUACAGUCUUAUCACAGAAAAAUAGUAUUUAUGUCUUUACAGCAGCAGAAAAAAGAACAAGUAACCGAACCAAUAACAUGCAAUUUGUAGGAAAACACUUAAUGCUGAAGAAGAAAUAUUUUUCAUCCCAUAUUUGUCUUUUUAGAUUACCUUCCCAUAACGCAUAGAAGACGUUCUGCAGAAUACAUGUUACCCAGUAGAAUUAUGCAUCAGCCUCCCAGACCAAUUAGUAUAGAAUAGUGCAGCAUAAAUUUUACAGGAACAAAAAAACAAACCAUGUUUUCCUCAUAAUGAGAACAUCCUUCCUUGUUAUUGUGUCAUACUGUCUUGUUAGAAAAGGAAGAAUAUUUAACAGUUAAUAUUUCUGUUGUUUUAGUAUAAGUCCUCUUGUUAGUUCAAACUUUGUGGGGGUUUUUUCUACAAUGACAAAUAUGUGUUCUAGUUCAGCGGCUGCAUCUUUAGCUCUGAAACAUCCUAAUUGAGACAGAUUCAGUGUUUGUUGUAUUUAGAAAGAUUAUUCGAAUUGCUGCAUACUUGCCAGGUCGUCUCAGACUGUACAAAAAACUAGUACUAUUCAAAAUAUGUCUUACUGUACUUAUCUUUCUAUACUUUAAAUUAUCAAAUAAAAUAAAAAAUUUUAAUUAUUUAAAUUGUGUCCCAUAAAAAAGCUCCCUCUGGCACAGCUCCAGCAUAUUAAAUCUAAAUGCAUAAAUAUGAAAAAUCGCUUCGUGUCAAAAGGGCCAUCAUGUCAGGCCCAGACUGAACAAAUUUACAAAUCUAAAAUUGUGAAUCAAGCACAUUAACCUCCUGGCUCUAACGCUGAUUACAUUCCAGCCAGAGGCAACUUUAAACUUUAUUGUUUUGACCUUGUUACAUUAUGCCACUUAUCAUGAUGAAGAAUAGGUGUGACUAACAGGAGUUAAAACUAAUAUUUGUUUUACACACUAAUUUUGUACAUAGAACAUGUAUUUUAGUUCCAAUUAAAAUCUCAGUGGAGUUUAGCAAGCAACAGUUUUAAAACUGUGAUCAAAGGACAGAAAAAGUUUUUUUUUUUUUUUUCUGGCAUGCUUUCCAAACAAUCGCUGGGCAUGUAGAAAGGGUCUAAUGGUUGCUAUGGAGAUGCAACUCUUUCCUGCAGUUUUCUGACAGUGAGCUCAUGAGAUUGCUUGCCUCUUUUACCAUCCUCCUCGCUGUGCUUGGUGGAAAGAUAAACCUGGGUCAUCAUCCAGUCUUGCUCGUCACAGUUCUGGUUGUUUCAUUUUUAUUUUUUUCCCCUUUACUAUUAUGACUGUAGAUUAUGUCUACCCUGUAAAAGUAACGCAUUCUUUUAUCUUUCCUGUUUUGAAGAGAGGCCAGAGAAACAAACUCAUGUGCCUUGUCAUAACUGCAUUCAAAGCCUGAAUAGCUAAAUAAAGAUUAAGCAAUAAUUAGUAGCAACAAGUGGGUUGAUUUUGCAGCUGUUCCAAUAGGUAUAAGAUGCAUUAUUUAUUCAAACUGCACUGUAUUCAGUCAAUAGAUAUUAAAAACAGCUAAAAUAAGUUGAUUUUCCUAUUGAAAUAGAGGUUUUUCAGUUUAAAAGAGAACAUUAGAUAAUGUUCAUGGCCAUUAUGUCCACUUUGAGCCACUCGCUGUAUUUGUACAAAAGAAAGUUCAUCAUUCAUCCAGAUGAUAAAAGCUCAAACACAAGGAGACAGAUGAAUCAACACACAUUUAAAUCCCACCAAAGGGGGCACUUAGCGUUGAUGAUAAGUCUGCCCCUGAUGGCAAUGCCAGAGAUAGUUCAGUGAAAUUACAAUUCUAAUUUAGAUGUGCUCCAUUUCUGUCACACACAGUUGAGAUGUAUUAAAUCCAGCACAAGCGGUUGCGCAUGCCAGAUACGAACAAAAAGCAUGUUUUUUUUUUUGUUUGUUUUUUUUUUAACGCAGGUCUCCUGAUUGAUUACAACGCCGUGGACAUCGGAUUCAGCUGAAUGACCGACCAGCUCUCCUCCCACUCACGACUCUGAGCCACUCCUUCACAGAUGUUCCAAAGUGAACUUAAUUUAUAGACUUGUCCAGAUGAUCAAGCAGUGUGUGAGUGAGGCCUUGGCUGUGCUGACCUGUGUGAUGAGGCUCACUGCUGUGCACAGCGGACAGUGACACAGGCAGGAGCAAUCACCACAUUGAGGCUCGAGUGUGUAUGAGUGUUUGCAAUUUGCUCCAAAUCUGACUGGGCAUUUCUUUUUUUUUUUUAAACUCCCAGCUAACGUUAAUCAUGACAAGCUCAGUUCUUCAGCCUCAAAUUCGGCUUUCACCGCCAUCAAUAUGCAGCCUGCUGAUUCCAUCCGGCCCACACAUACGUGAUAAUGAUAAGUCAUGGUAGGCGGUAAUGGCAGUUUCAGUCUGGGUGCAGGAUUUUAAUUGGCUACUUUAGCUGUCAGAGAAAGCAGGAGCCUUGAUUGAGCCUUUGAUUUGGCCAGAGUGGCACACCGAGAGCCUUAAUUGGCCUGUGGACCAAACACCAGGAAAACACAUUAGUUGAAGUGCUCAAGCAUGAGCCCUCAGAAUUUAUUACAAGGGUUCAGAUAGCUGAAAUGUCAAACUCAAAAUGUCAUUAAACUUUAAAAUAAAUUAGGAAGUAAAAACGCUGAGACUCUUUGGCGUAAAGUCUUUUGUUUUAAAAACUAUUCACUUGAGAUCGAGCUGGUCAUAAACAAAACAACUUUUUUUUUUUUUUUGUUGCAGUUUUUCUAUAAAUUAUCUAAUCAAGAUAAAGUAUUUAUCAUUCCAAAAACAAGAUCUCAUCUCAUGGCAUCGAAGUAACUAUUUAAGAUGACAAAAGCAGAAAAUUGGUUGUAUUAAUUUGUGGGAGUGGCAAACAUGCAUGGAAACAUUCAAAAACAGGAUGACAGAUUAGUAGUAGCUUGGUGUUGCCGUCCCUGGUCGUCUCCAUCUGGCACAAGCAAAUCAGGCUGAACUAGUUCCAACACAAAUAGCUCAGAAUCUAUCUGAAAAUCUGUCUAGAAUCUCUCCACCGCCAUAGUGUUGACUAAUACCAGCGAAUCAUCUGGAUUCACUUGUAAGAAUUAGAAUUUUAUUUUUUGAAAAUAUGUACCUCAUUACCCUGCUGUCUUAUUUUGUUAAUACACAACAAAAAGAAAUAAAUCCCCACUGUUUCGUAUCUUUCAGACAGAUUAUUACGAAAAGCAGUGAAGAGGUUUCAACAAUUUCAAUGAAGGAAAAACAACAAGAUAAAGAACGACCAUCCUGGACACACAGAAGCAGAGCAAAACCAGAGCUUUCUCCUCUGCCACUGUUCUUAUGUUGCAGCCAUUACCUGUGUGAGGCCAAUAAACAACAGAUUUCAUCUCGGCUGAAAAUUUCCUUCCUCCCUGUUUGACAGGUUACUACUGGGAUAAAUGGGGAACGUGGCACAUAUGGCUUGUAUGGACUAUAUUUGUAGGGUCGUAGAGCUCCCAUCUAAGUGCACAGUGAGUAGCACAAAUCAUCCUCUAAUUAUAACUUUUGAGGCUUACAUACAUCAUUGGGGGGCAAUUUCAAGGUGAUGGCUCUUCAGUUUACCGAAAAUGGCUCUGGGGAACUGUCACCAUCAUCAACCAUCCACCUAACAUAAUUUUCUUCUUUCAUUUUAAUCUUGUCUUCUGUUUUUUUUUUUUUUUUUUCCCCUUGAGAAACAUUGUACUGUCCCACAGAUAAGUAAAAGCCUGGCAACGCUACAAAUAUGCCCCAAGUCACUAUUGUGUGACCAGCCUCUUUCUUUUAAACUUCAGCAUAAGCCUGCUUCAGUGCCAUUAAAAUAACUUGUCAUGACAGUGUGGCCUGGGAGCACUGCAAUCAAUUUCUAUUACAUCAAGGCCCAACUGGGCAUUGCUACUGAACUAAGCGCUGGUAAGCAAUCUCCCUGGCCGAGGGUGGUUUGUGUGAUGGUGGCGUAUCUUUAUGUGUGAGUGAGCAGUAUAAGGAGUGUGUGUUGGCUUGUAAAUGAGCAAGAACUGCAAGAGGUUUAACUUUUCUCUGCACAAGUGUGCAGUCUUACCAGCACAGGGAAUGAAACUAAAAACAAUGCUUUUAAAUUCUGCGUCGAUAGGGAUUAAAGUGCUGGGAAAAGAAUUUGCCCCCCAUAUAGAUUCCUACUGUUUUGCUUUUGUGUCACAUUUAAAGUCGUCAGAUCAUCAAAGUAAAUGUAAAAAAAACAACAACACAGUUUUCAAAGGAUGUAAUUUAUUAAGUGAAGGAAAAGACCAUCCAGACCAAUCGCAUGUGGGGAAAAAUAGAUUACCCUCACUAUUAAAUUGUAAGUUCAUUUUGAAUGAAUAACGUUUUCCUUUAUCCGCUGCUACAUGUCUGUCCAACUACUGCCUGACCUGUCAAAAU